This is a regulatory RNA element of Lutibacter agarilyticus, 71 nucleotides long. It matches the Rfam family "DUF805 RNA". The record is from Rfam. NCBI's taxonomy places the organism in Bacteria, Pseudomonadati, Bacteroidota, Flavobacteriia, Flavobacteriales, Flavobacteriaceae.
UUUAAGUGGAGUCCAGAACCCACGCUUAAAAAAACGGGGAGCAACUGAAAAUCCAUAAGAGUAGGGGAAUU